Molecule: long non-coding RNA, 499 nt
Organism: Populus euphratica (Euphrates poplar)
Lineage: Eukaryota; Viridiplantae; Streptophyta; Magnoliopsida; Malpighiales; Salicaceae
Exons: 3
Source: RefSeq, a predicted model, not a curated record
AGAUUCUGUUUUUUUUUUUUUCACACAUCCAUUUUUAGGCCCUUCUUGAAAUUCCCAGUUCCUCCCCGAUUCGUCAAAAAAAUCAAAGUAUCAAAGAACCAAUAGGGAAGCUUGAUUGUUGUGGGUCAGAUUCGGCUCAUCCCUUUGGAAAUAAAUUUGUAGAUUUGUCUCCUCCGACCAUCUUCUUUCCUUUACUGUGGGAAAAAAUUUUCCUUACUUUUUUCUAGUCGAGACGCGCUUCCAUAUUGUUGAUCUUGUCUAUUAAUAAACAAAGGAGGCACAAUAACAUUACUCCUGCAAACUCCUCUGGAAACAAAAAAGAGAAUCUGCUGUAAAAUCGAGAAUGGAAGCUCCUGAAAAUAUGAAUAAAACAGCAUGGACUAAAGAAAUGUUGCAUGUCUUUUGUGACCUUUGCAUCAAGGCUAUCGACAUGGGAAUGAGACCAAAUACUCAUUUCGACAAAGCUGGUUGGAAAUAUUUGUUGGCAUCAUUCAAAGAA